GCCUUCGUGGUGUAGGGGUCAGAACGCUCCGCGCGUACUCCAGAGGUCCGUGGUUCGAAUCCCGGCGAGGGCA
Molecule: transfer RNA, 73 nt
Filed under: Stegodyphus mimosarum
Lineage: Eukaryota; Metazoa; Arthropoda; Arachnida; Araneae; Eresidae
Rfam family: tRNA
About the family: Transfer RNA (tRNA) molecules are approximately 80 nucleotides in length.
Source: Rfam by way of RNAcentral